AUUGAACGCUGGCGGCAUGCUUUACACAUGCAAGUCGAACGGCAGCGCGGGCUUCGGCCUGGCGGCGAGUGGCGAACGGGUGAGUAAUGCAUCGGAACGUGCCCAGUAGUGGGGGAUAGCCCGGCGAAAGCCGGAUUAAUACCGCAUACGACCUGAGGGUGAAAGCGGGGGACGGAAAGGCCUCGCGCUAUUGGAGCGGCCGAUGUCGGAUUAGCUAGUUGGUGGGGUAAAGGCUUACCAAGGCGACGAUCCGUAGCUGGUCUGAGAGGACGACCAGCCACACUGGGACUGAGACACGGCCCAGACUCCUACGGGAGGCAGCAGUGGGGAAUUGUGGACAAUGGGGGCAACCCUGAUCCAGCCAUGCCGCGUGCGGGAAGAAGGCCUUCGGGUUGUAAACCGCUUUUGUUCGGGAAGAAAUCCUCUGGGCUAAUACCCCGGGGGGAUGACGGUACCGGAAGAAUAAGCACCGGCUAACUACGUG
Molecule: ribosomal RNA, 484 nt
Filed under: uncultured bacterium
Lineage: Bacteria
Description: partial 16S ribosomal RNA
Rfam family: Bacterial small subunit ribosomal RNA
Source: RNAcentral